CAGUCGCCGCGGUAAUACGGAGGGGGCUAGCGUUGUUCGGAAUUACUGGGCGUAAAGCGCACGUAGGCGGCUUGGUAAGUUAGAGGUGAAAGCCUGGAGCUCAACUCCAGAAUUGCCUUUAAGACUGCCGAGCUAGCAGGUGAGAGAGGUAAGUGGAAUUCCGAGUGUAGAGGUGAAAUUCGUAGAUAUUGGGAAGAACACCGGUGGCGAAGGCGGCAACCUGGCUCAUUACUGACGCUGAGGCGCGAAAGCGUGGGGAGCAAACAGGAUUAGAUACCCGGGUAGUCCCUGUCUCUUAUAC
Molecule: ribosomal RNA, 301 nt
Filed under: uncultured bacterium
Lineage: Bacteria
Description: partial 16S ribosomal RNA
Rfam family: Bacterial small subunit ribosomal RNA
Source: RNAcentral